UACGUAGGGGGCGAGCGUUGUCCGGAAUUAUUGGGCGUAAAGCGAGCGCAGGUGGUUUAUUAAGUCUGGUGUAAAAGGCAGUGGCUCAACCAUUGUAUGCAUUGGAAACUGGUAGACUUGAGUGCAGGAGAGGAGAGUGGAAUUCCAUGUGUAGCGGUGAAAUGCGUAGAUAUAUGGAGGAACACCGGUGGCGAAAGCGGCUCUCUGGCCUGUAACUGACACUGAGGCUCGAAAGCGUGGGGAGCAAACAGG
RNAcentral lists this ribosomal RNA (252 nucleotides) under uncultured microorganism. Its description in RNAcentral is "partial 16S ribosomal RNA". It matches the Rfam family "Bacterial small subunit ribosomal RNA", at positions 524 to 776 of the family's 1533-position model. The record is from RNAcentral.